This 119-nucleotide ribosomal RNA is filed under the name Theropithecus gelada (gelada). The record is from RNAcentral. Lineage: Eukaryota; Metazoa; Chordata; Mammalia; Primates; Cercopithecidae.
CUCUACGGCCAUACCACCCUGAACGCGCCCGAUCUCAUCUGAUCUCGGAAGCUAAGCAAGGUCGGGUCUGGUUAGUACUUGGAUGGAAGACCGCCUGGGAAUACCGGGUACUGUAGGCU